Molecule: long non-coding RNA, 616 nt
Organism: Mandrillus leucophaeus (drill)
Lineage: Eukaryota; Metazoa; Chordata; Mammalia; Primates; Cercopithecidae
Exons: 3
Source: RefSeq, a predicted model, not a curated record
AGUGCAAUCUCCGGCUGCCUGGACUGGCGCUCCGAUUCUUCUGUGCUGAAUCUCAGGGGACGCCAACAUGCAUACACGUCCCUUCGAUAGCUCAGCUGGUAGAGCGGAGGACUGUAGCUACUUCCUCAGCAGGAGACAUCCUUAGGUCGCUGGUUCGAUUCCGGCUCGAAGGAGACAAGUGCGGUUUUUAUUCCAGCUCCCGAUGACUUAUGCCCCUUUCCUUGGGUGCCUUCAAUGACACAUUGCAUUCCAACAAGCAGUUGGAAACUCUAGCGCGUUCUCCCCAUUUUGGGCCUCCCAGCCUGCGCGGGACUCAUCUGAGGCUAAGCUGCCCAUCGUUCGGGGAGACCCUCAGGGAAAACAAAGCAAGAAACAGAGAACUUGGAAACGGACACUGAUUACUUUGAACGUUUGCUCAGCCGAGGAAGCAGGAACUGUUCGGCCCCGGGCGGACUGCCUGGCUCCGGACAGAGGACAGAUCCGAGGUGGAUGGAUAAGGCAAAAGGUAGCCCUGCGAAGGUGGAUACCUUUAUGGUGAAGAUUUGAAUUUAGCUUUUAAAUUGUAAUUUUUCAAAGACCACAACCCCAGCUGACAAAGAUGAAAUACCUAACAUUA